AAGUCGUAACAAGGUUUCCGUAGGUGAACCUGCGGAAGGAUCAUUAACACGUAUCCACGUAUCAACCAACCGAGAACCGUUUUCAACUCUCCCUCCAAUGGAUCAUGAGUGGGCCGACUACAAUGACAGCAUGAAGGGCUCCUCGGAGCGCAUUGAGUUCGCAUAAAGCUGAGCUUAAACAACAAGCCAGACCACUGUAUUUCAUAGGAGGCAACUUCUUCACUGCCGGUGAACCUUCUCUCUAUCGUACGCAGUGAGGAUAAUUAAUUUACACGAUACACACCACUUUUUUGCUAGUUGACUUUUAUCUGUCGGUCAGUGCGCAAGCAAUGGCUCACACGUUUAUUUAUUUGAACGUUAAAAAUACAACUCUUAGCAAUGGAUAUCUUGGUUCUC
This 396-nucleotide unclassified non-coding RNA is filed under the name fungal sp. RNAcentral's name for it is "partial internal transcribed spacer region". The stretch from base 1 to 46 matches the Rfam family "Eukaryotic small subunit ribosomal RNA", at positions 1786 to 1831 of the family's 1831-position model. The record is from RNAcentral. Lineage: Eukaryota; Fungi.